CCUACGGGAGGCAGCAGUGGGGAAUUUUGGACAAUGGGCGCAAGCCUGAUCCAGCUAUUCCGCGUGUGGGAUGACGGCCCUCGGGUUGUAAACCACUUUAGUAGAGAACGAAAAGGAGCUAUCGAAUAAAUAGCUCUGCUGACGGUACUCUAAGAAUAAGCACCGGCUAACUACGUGCCAGCAGCCGCGGUAAUACGUAGGGUGCGAGCGUUAAUCGGAAUUACUGGGCGUAAGGGGUGUGCAGGCGGCUGGGUAAGACGGAUGUGAAAUCCCCGGGCUUAACCUGGGAACAGCAUAUGUGAUGGCUUGGCUAGAGGGCGUAGGGGGGAAGGGGAAUUCCACGGGUAGCAGUGAAAUG
Molecule: ribosomal RNA, 358 nt
Filed under: uncultured bacterium
Lineage: Bacteria
Description: partial 16S ribosomal RNA
Rfam family: Bacterial small subunit ribosomal RNA
Source: RNAcentral